GGGGCUGGAGAGAUGGCUCAGUGGCUA
Molecule: non-coding RNA, 27 nt
Filed under: Cricetulus griseus (Chinese hamster)
Lineage: Eukaryota; Metazoa; Chordata; Mammalia; Rodentia; Cricetidae
Source: RNAcentral